UAGGGAAUCUUCGGCAAUGGGGGCAACCCUGACCGAGCAACGCCGCGUGAGUGAAGAAGGUUUUCGGAUCGUAAAGCUCUGUUGUAAGUCAAGAACGAGUGUGAGAGUGGAAAGUUCACACUGUGACGGUAGCUUACCAGAAAGGGACGGCUAACUACGUGCCAGCAGCCGCGGUAAUACGUAGGUCCCGAGCGUUGUCCGGAUUUAUUGGGCGUAAAGCGAGCGCAGGCGGUUUGAUAAGUCUGAAGUUAAAGGCUGUGGCUCAACCAUAGUUCGCUUUGGAAACUGUCAAACUUGAGUGCAAGAGGGGAGAGUGGAAUUCCAUGUGUAGCGGUGAAAUGCGUAGAUAUAUGGAGGAACACCGGUGGCGAAAGCGGCUCUCUGGCUUGUAACUGACGCUGAGGCUCGAAAGCGUGGGGAGCAAACAGGAUUAGAUACCCUGGUAGUCCACGCCGUAAACGAUGAGUGCUAGGUGUUAGACCCUUUCCGGGGUUUAGUGCCGCAGCUAACGCAUUAAGCACUCCGCCUGGGGAGUACGACCGCAAGGUUG
RNAcentral lists this ribosomal RNA (550 nucleotides) under uncultured bacterium. RNAcentral describes it as "bacterial SSU rRNA". It matches the Rfam family "Bacterial small subunit ribosomal RNA", at positions 355 to 896 of the family's 1533-position model. The record is from RNAcentral.